GACGAACGCUGGCGGCGUGCCUAACACAUGCAAGUCGAACGGAGAAUUGCGCUGAACUUGAUAUUAGCUUGCUAAAGGAUAGUUCUUGUAAUUCUUAGUGGCGGACGGGUGAGUAACGCGUGAGCAACCUGCCUUACAGAGGGGGACAACAUUGGGAAACCGAUGCUAAUACCGCAUAACGUAUUUUUAAGGCAUCUUAGAAAUACCAAAGGAGCAAUCCGCUGUAAGAUGGGCUCGCGUCCGAUUAGAUAGUUGGCGGGUAACGGCCCACCAAGUCGACGAUCGGUAGCCGGACUGAGAGGUUGAACGGCCACAUUGGGACUGAGACACGGCCCAGACUCCUACGGGAGGCAGCAGUGGGGGAUAUUGCACAAUGGGGGAAACCCUGAUGCAGCAACGCCGCGUGAGGGAAGAAGGUUUUUCGGAUUGGUAAACCUCUGUUUUUAGUGAAGUAACAAAUGACGGUAGCUAAAGAGGAAAGCCACGGCUAAC
RNAcentral lists this ribosomal RNA (492 nucleotides) under uncultured bacterium. RNAcentral describes it as "bacterial SSU rRNA". It matches the Rfam family "Bacterial small subunit ribosomal RNA", at positions 28 to 501 of the family's 1533-position model. The record is from RNAcentral.